AUUGAACGCUGGCGGCAGGCUUAACACAUGCAAGUCGAACGAGUGGCGGACGGGUGAGUAAUGCUUGGGAAUCUAGCUUAUGGAGGGGGAUAACUACGGGAAACUGUAGCUAAUACCGCGUACCAUAGGAUGAGCCCAAGUGGGAUUAGGUAGUUGGUGAGGUAAAGGCUCACCAAGCCGACGAUCUCUAGCUGGUCUGAGAGGAUGACCAGCCACACGGGGACUAAGAGACGGCCCAGACUCAGACGGGAGGCAGCAGUGGGGAAUAUUGCGGAAGGGGGGAAAUCUGACGCAGACAUGCGGCGUGAAGGAAGAAGGCCGUCGGGUUGUAAAGGACUUUCGGUAGCGAGGCGUUAACUACAGAAGAAGCAACGGCUAACUCCGUGCCAGCAGCCGCGGUAAUAC
Molecule: ribosomal RNA, 405 nt
Filed under: uncultured bacterium
Lineage: Bacteria
Description: partial 16S ribosomal RNA
Rfam family: Bacterial small subunit ribosomal RNA
Source: RNAcentral